Molecule: ribosomal RNA, 253 nt
Filed under: uncultured bacterium
Lineage: Bacteria
Description: partial 16S ribosomal RNA
Rfam family: Bacterial small subunit ribosomal RNA
Source: RNAcentral
UACGUAGGGGGCAAGCGUUGUCCGGAAUCAUUGGGCGUAAAGAGCGUGUAGGCGGCCCGGUAAGUCCGCUGUGAAAGCCCCAGGCUCAACCUGGGAACUGCACUCGAAACUGCGUUUCUUGAGUAUCGGAGAGGAAAGCGGAAUACCUGGUGUAGAGGUGAAAUUCGUAGAUAUCAGGUGGAACACCAGUGGCGAAGGCGGCUUUCUGGACGAUUACUGACGCUGAGACGCGAAAGCGUGGGGAGCAAACAGG